UACGGGGGGGGCAAGCGUUGUUCGGAAUUACUGGGCGUAAAGGGCUCGUAGGCGGCCAACUAAGUCAGACGGGAAAUCCCCAGGCUCAACCUGGGAACUGCGUCUGAUACUGGAUGGCUUGAAUCCGGGAGAGGGAUGCAGAAUUCCAGGUGUAGCGGUGAAAUGCGUAGAUAUCUGGAGGAAUACCGGUGGCGAAGGCGGCAUCCUGGACCGGCAUUGACGCUGAGGAGCGAAAGCCAGGGGAGCAAACGGG
This 253-nucleotide ribosomal RNA is filed under the name uncultured bacterium. Its description in RNAcentral is "partial 16S ribosomal RNA". It matches the Rfam family "Bacterial small subunit ribosomal RNA", at positions 524 to 776 of the family's 1533-position model. The record is from RNAcentral.